Long non-coding RNA from Dioscorea cayenensis subsp. rotundata (Guinea yam), 2927 nucleotides. RefSeq lists it as uncharacterized. NCBI's taxonomy places the organism in Eukaryota, Viridiplantae, Streptophyta, Magnoliopsida, Dioscoreales, Dioscoreaceae. The record is from RefSeq and is a predicted model, not a curated record. The transcript is spliced from 3 exons.
CUGAUCUCUCUUUGAUGUUUUAAAUUGGGAUUUCUGGGAUUAUUGGAUUGAGGUUCAAUUUGAGGAAAAUCCUAUAUGUUUAUGAGUUUGAAUAAAUAACAUUGGCUUUGUUUACCAAUUUUCAAGGUGCAAAGUGCUUAGUUGUUAUUCUAUCAUGCUCUAUUGCUACUCAAUUUUGGACUUAGUUGUGAUUCAAAAUGCUUACUUGAGAGAAUUGUAAGGUAGAUCUGAAAGUGCUAGUGCAACUUUGGAACUUCUUCUCUUAAACCUUCUUCAUUCAUCUUCACAAUCUAAAGAUUGUUGAAUUCAAGAGGACUCUAGUUUGGGGUUUUUGAAUAUCAAAAUUUCUUUCUUACUUUAAUGUUGUUAAAGCUAGCUUGUUGUUGGGACUAUUUUUUACAAUGGUUAUUGCAUAGCACCAAUUUAUAGGACAUUGUUUGCAAGUAAUUUUUUGUUUCUUUGUUGUAGGAUCUUUUCUAUUUUUUCUUAUCUGAAGGGAGGGUGUAGAAAGAUAUUCCUUUGCAUGUUAUAUAUAGGAUUUGCAGGGUUGAAGACCCAAAAUUAGCAGUGGGGGUCUGUAAAAGAAAAGAAGUAAGAGAGCUAAAGCUGGAAUUUGUUUCUUCAUUUUUUUGCUUUAAACUAUAUUUUAAUUUGAACUUUACAACUUCAUAAGAUAUUCCUUUGCAUGUUUUCCAUCAUGUAUUAACCUAAUUGUUAUUGUUUUCUCAGCAAAUUCAGUUGGUGUUGUCUCUGAAUUUAAUGCACAGUUGCAGAUUCUUGAAUUGCUCGACAACAUAAGUGUUUAUUUUUAAGUGAAAAGAUUAUUAAUUUAAUGUUUCUGUACUAGCAGCACAGUUUGGGUUAUGCAAGCAGAGGAAACCUCUAGUUUAGAAUGAAUGCUGUCUUAAUUCGCACUUGUUUUACAUUAUAGGCAACAUUAAGUGGUAGUUACAAGGUACUAUUGCACAUACAUGAUAUUUAUAAUGCACCUUUGUGAUUAUUCAAUGAACAAUGCUUUUGAUUCUUCUUUGAAUCCUUAAAAAUAUGUGGCAUUAUUAUAGUUGCUCAACUUUAUGAAUUUGAUUUACCUAUAGGUGGUUUAUUAUGAAUUUAUUAAUAUUUAUUUAAAUAAUUAGUUUAAAAUUACUACAAAACCAAACACACAAACUAGGCCAAAUACUCAUCAAUAUAAUUCAUAUGCUUUUAACUUCACAAAACAAAGCGUUUAAUAGUCUAUGGAUAAAUCUCAUGAUCAUAAGAAGCAUGUAUAAGAAUUAAACAAAUAGGCAUAACGAUAAGCAAAGAUAAUGUCAUUAUUUAUGAAGGUGUCCAUAAAAUCCCCCAUUUCAUAUAUAUGAUAUAAUCUCUCAUAGAGAGUCAGACAGAAAAAGUGCAAGAAAAACACAUCCAAAUUGGAAGGUUAAUAAGGCUUCUAGAGUACUGGUAGUAGCAAGCCUUCAAGAAUCAAGAUACACAUAUAUAUAUGAUCCGCAUCAUCAUAAUCAUCCUGUGUGACAGAAGAGAAAUCAAAGUGUAAGUGAUUGAUACCAAUGAUAUUUUCUUCUGUUCUCACAAACUUGAAAAGAAGCAAUCUUAUAUGUAUAUACUUUUAAAUUAAUUCAGCAAAAUAAUAAGCCUUGGUUCAAGAGUUAACUUACAGAAAAUUGUUGAAUCUUCAGCAAGUUCUGUCACAUCCUUAACUGUAAGCAAAUCAUUGUUCUUGGGAGAAAUUUAAUCGAUGUUGAUUUCAUUGGCUUUUCUUCCUAAUUCUGAUUGAUAUGUUCUUUCCCAUGCUUUAAGUAGUUAAGGAGCACAACUGAUCAUGAGAUCUUGCAAUAAUAUUUCUUUUUCUGGUCUUUGCUAUGCUUGUGUUUGUGGUUUUUUAGGACCCCAAUAACUUGUGAAGAUCCAUUCAGUGAUAGAUCUCAGUCCAGGUUUUCCUUUUUUUGAGAAUAAUUUCAUCAAGUUGGGUAAAUUCUUUUCAUUUAGGUUUGUCAGUUUGCCAAAUUUCCCCAUUCCACUUCUUGGAUUUUUCUGAUUAGGGUUGUGCCCUACUUGAGCAAAGCUUAAAUGACUAAUUGCUAGCUUGGAUUGGUUAAUUCUUUCCAUUAGGUUUGAUCUUAUUUGUUUAAUUUUUUGUGUUGGUUUGAGCACACAUUAUUGGUCUUUGUAUUAUUUCUUAUACUUUGGUGAAUAAAGGUAAUUUGAUGCCAGGUUGUCAACAUUGCACCGGUAGAGGUACUGUUUUUCUUCUGAAAUUGAUACAUACCUGUACUAGUUUUUUAGGACCCAGAAAACUUGUGAAGAUCCAUUCAGGAAUUGAUCUCAGCAAAUCAAUCAUCAUAGUCGUUUGAAUUGACUGCAAAUGUGAUACUUUUUGAGAGCAAAAUGAAAAAAAGGCUUGAAUGUUUGGCUGAUCAUUUUUGUUAUUUUGGUAGCUAUUAUGGCCUAUUAUUAUAUACACUGGAAGGAGGUUUUGAUAGGAUGGGGUAUUGAUGAUGCCGAGUGAGCUUCAUGAGUUUGGUUAUUCUUCACGACUAGGUCUAUACUAAACUUAGCCUGGCAAACAACUGCAUCCAUAAAUUUGGUUUUCUUCCUUGUUUGGCGAUUUCUGCAUUGGAAAGGUAUAUUUUUAGAGGAAGACUGCCAUUAACAUUGAAGCAUGGAAAGCCUGAUCAGGAAGCCUAAUAAUAUUUUUGAAGCAUAGAAAGCCUGAUAAUACUAUCUUUGCAAGGACUUUCUGGCAAAGGCUGCAAUUGAAAAUCAUGUUUUUGUGUGUAUGUGCCUAUGCUUGCAUGUGUGUUUUCUUAGAAUAUGUAUACUAAUUGUUGAAAAGAGAAAAGUUUUUUAGGUUAUCAUUUUGUAAUAAAUUAAAAUAUUAAUAUUGUCUUUGAUGUUGUCUCAUACAUAUAUAUUGCCCGCCAUUA